AGAGAGCUAGGGUGAAGGAGAAUCAUGAUCGACAAAAGAUACACAUCCUUCUUUGAGGACCCAUGGUGGUACGUUGCGGCGGCGUAACUUGGCACAUGGAAUGCGCACCCAAAUGCAUAAAUACGAAAGUCGUCAGGUUCGUACCCAAUAACCAACUGUAACGUCAUAUAGGUUGGGUGGCAAUGGGCCUCAAGGCGGACCAACAUAGCUGCGUGCAAGAUUGCAUAGCCUUAGGCAAAGACCGAAAACUUGGUACGUUUACCAAAAUUCAGGCGAUCAUUUAAAUUGCGCUUUAUGAUCGCUAGGCUAGGCUAUUUGGGG
This 321-nucleotide long non-coding RNA is filed under the name Malus domestica (apple). RNAcentral's name for it is "long non-coding RNA (MDOM_LNC000613)". Lineage: Eukaryota; Viridiplantae; Streptophyta; Magnoliopsida; Rosales; Rosaceae. The record is from RNAcentral.